ACACUCCUGCGGGAGGCAGCAGUGAGGAAUAUUGGACAAUGGGUGGAAGCCUGAUCCAGCCAUCCCGCGUGCAGGAAGACGGCCCUAUGGGUUGUAAACUGCUUUUAUCUGGGGAUAAACCUACUUACGUGUAAGUAGCUGAAGGUACCAGAAGAAUAAGCACCGGCUAACUCCGUGCCAGCAGCCGCGGUCAUACGGAGGGUGCAAGCGUUAUCCGGAUUUAUUGGGUUUAAAGGGUCCGUAGGCGGACUGAUAAGUCAGUGGUGAAAUCCGACAGCUUAACUGUCGAACUGCCAUUGAUACUGUUAGUCUUGAGUAAGGUUGAAGUGGCUGGAAUAAGUAGUGUAGCGGCGAAAUGCAUAGAUAUUACUUAGAACACCAAUUGCGAAGGCAGGUCACUAAGUCUUAACUGACGCUGAUGGACGAAAGCGUGGGGAGCGAACAGGAUUAGAAACCCGUGUAGUCCCA
RNAcentral lists this ribosomal RNA (468 nucleotides) under uncultured organism. RNAcentral's name for it is "partial 16S ribosomal RNA". It matches the Rfam family "Bacterial small subunit ribosomal RNA", at positions 333 to 797 of the family's 1533-position model. The record is from RNAcentral.